UACGUAGGGUCCGAGCGUUGUCCGGAUUUAUUGGGCGUAAAGAGCUCGUAGGCGGUUCCGUAAGUCAGAUGUGAAAACUCAGGGCUCAACCCGGAGACGCCAUCUGAUACUGCGGUGACUGGAGUCUGGUAGGGGAACACGGAAUUCCUGGUGUAGCGGUGAAAUGCGCAGAUAUCAGGAGGAACACCGGUGGCGAAGGCGGCAUCCUGGACCAACACUGACACUGAGGAGCGAAAGCCAGGGGAGCAAACGGG
This 254-nucleotide ribosomal RNA is filed under the name uncultured bacterium. RNAcentral describes it as "partial 16S ribosomal RNA". It matches the Rfam family "Bacterial small subunit ribosomal RNA", at positions 524 to 776 of the family's 1533-position model. The record is from RNAcentral.